RNAcentral lists this long non-coding RNA (267 nucleotides) under Manihot esculenta (cassava). Its description in RNAcentral is "long non-coding RNA (MESC_LNC004799)". The record is from RNAcentral. Lineage: Eukaryota; Viridiplantae; Streptophyta; Magnoliopsida; Malpighiales; Euphorbiaceae.
CUAACUUAUUGUUGGUUGAACAUGAUGUUUGGAGAUGUUACUGCUUCUUUAACCUUCCACGGAGCCCCCUUUUUUUAAUUUUUUUUUUAAUUACUGCUCCUUAGAUUGUUGAGUACAAUCAAACAUUUGAAGUCUAAUUUAGUUUCUACUUAGUUUCAAUUUGUGAAUUUGAAAGACUGCUGUGGAUUUAAUUACUAUACUGAAACCAUUGUGUUUUGCAGGACUACUUUUUCUUCUUCCAAUUAGAAAAUUAAAAAAAAAAAAAAA